RNAcentral lists this long non-coding RNA (2470 nucleotides) under Cercocebus atys (sooty mangabey). RNAcentral describes it as "lncRNA (ENSCATG00000045526.1)". The record is from RNAcentral. Lineage: Eukaryota; Metazoa; Chordata; Mammalia; Primates; Cercopithecidae.
ACAUGUGUCUCUCAUCUCAGAUCUGCCAAAUGAUGUUGUAAUUAAUUGCAUGCAACCCUCUUUCACCCACUGAACUGGGAGUUCUUUAAAGUUAUAUGUGCAUAUCUGUGUCCUAGGGCCUAGCAUUAAGUCUGGCAUGAUGUUGAUGACAAGUAAGUGUUCGAUAUGUGAAAGUACAAAUGAAUGAAAGAACCAGUGAUGCCAUCUGGACCAGAGCUGGUCUGCCUCAGACCCGGGUCCCACAUUGAGCACAUCAAACUUUGCUGUUCUGAAGGAUAAACUGGGCUAGUACCGAUUAGCUCACUAAACAAAUAUUUCUCCACUGAAGCACAUGCUUGCUCUCCCAUUUCACUCUGUAUUUACUUAUUCAUAGCCCAUAAAAAGCAGUGAGCUGGAAACAUUCAUGUUUCCUCAUUACAUUCCCCAAAGUGGGAGGUUGUUUUCCUCUCAUGUAGCAUUUUUCCAGUGUGUGAAAAUCUCUGGCCUCAAAGCACACUUGUGGGAACCCAUAAUUGAGUCUGAAAUCAUCCAACAGCAGCAGAAAGUUCUUACAGCCCUGAGAGCCUCAGGGAACCAGGACACUUACAGAACCUUGCUGAAAAACACGGGAUCUACAGCAAAAGCCAGAAAAUCCCCAGAGACCAUCUGGACCAACCCCUCCUCUCACAGCUUCCUAUGGGACCAUGGACUCUUGCAUAAGUCCAAACACACCAGCAGCUCAUCUAAAACCUGGGAAUUACUGGUCUCCCACCAUUGACAAGGCUGCAGCUCUUCAGAAUGACUGCUUCCAGUGGUCAGAUCUCAACUCCUUGACAGGUAUCAACCCUUCUGGAAAUACUAUAUCAAAGUCUGUAGAACUGCACAGUAAAUCGAAUGCAUUGUAAAUCCCACACAUAGUCUCUGUUUUACUAAAAAUGAAUAAUAUAUUUGUACUUAUUUGUUAAUAAAUAACAUUUGAUCUUAAAAUCUACCCAUUUCAAGUCAGGAAAAGUUCAAAAAGACAUGGAACCUAAGCUAUUGUAUCUCUCUCACUACACUUGUAAUUUCAUACAAAUGAUUUAAGAAUCCAGAUAGACCAGCCUGACCAACAUGGAGAAACCCUGACUCUACUAAAAAUACAAAAUUAGCCGGGUGUGGUGGCACAUGCCUGUAAUCCCAGUUGCUCGGGGGGCUGAGUCAGGAGAAUUGCUUGAACCCAGCAGGCGGAGGUUGCGGCGGUGAGCUGGAGAUCGUGCCGCUGCACUCCAGCCUGGGCAACAAGAGUGAAACUCCGUCUCAAAAAAAAAAAAAAAAAAAAAGAAAGAAAUCCAGAUAAUAUAAUCUACAAAAGAAGAAAAUGUUAAUACACAUUAAGCAACUACUGACAAAAGUAUUACUUUAGUAUAUGUCAAUCUGAAAAUUAAAUAUACCAAUAAGGUCAGUUGUCUGAAAGGAAAUUAGGUUGAGCAAGAGCUACAUAUAAGAGGAAAAAUGCCCUACUGUGAAAUGGCCACAGUGAGGAAGAAAUCCUAGGAUCAUCACAGGAUAACAAGGCAAUGGGUCACCAUGACAAGGUCCAAUAUAUGCAGCAGACGGAUGUCUUUCUCUCUCUCCCUCUCUCUCUCUCUUUUUCCCCCCUCCCCUCCUCCACUCUCAGUUAUGGAAAAGUGUAAAUAUUUCCCUCUCCUAAAUCCAAGAGAAUAGAAGAUGAGAUAGAGAUAAAGCCAGUAAGCCAAAAAAUACAUAGUGUGAUAAAAGAAAUAAGAAAUAUCAAGUAAAAAAAGUCCUUCUAUCCCGAGACUUUGCUGAAGUUGCUUAUCAGCUUAAGGAGAUUUGGGGCUGAGGCGAUGGGGUUUUCUAAAUAUACAAUCAUGUCACCUGCAAACAGGGACAAUUUGAGUUCCUCUUUUCCUAAUUGAAUACUCUUUAUUUCUUUGUCCUGCCUGAUUGCCCUGGCCAGAACUUCCAACACUAUGUUGAAGAGGAGCGGUGAGAAAGGGCAUCCCUGUCUUGUGCCAGUUUUCAAAGGGAAUGCUUCCAGUUUUUGCCCAUUCAGUAUGAUAGUGGCUAUGGGUUUGUCAUGAAUAGCUCUUAUUAUUUUGAGAUACACCCCAUCAAUACCUAAUUUAUGAAGAGUUUUUAGCAUGAAAGGCUGUUAAAAUUUGUCAAAGGCCUUUUCUGCAUCUAUUGAGAUAAUCAUGUGGUUUUUGUCUUUGGUUCUGUUUAUAUGCUAGAUUAUGUUUAUUGAUUUGCAUAUAUGUUGAACCAGCCUUGCAUCCAGGGAUGAAGCCCACUUGAUCAUGGUGGAUAAGCUUUUUGAUGUGCUGCUGGAUUCGGUUGCCAGUAUUUUAUUGAGGAUUUUUACAUCGAUGUUCAUCAAGGAUAUUGGUCUAAAAUUCUCAUUUUUUGUUGUGUCUCUGCCAGGCUUUGGUAUCAGGAUGAUGUUGUGCCUGAGUCAGGGAGGAUUCCCUCUUUUUUUAUUGAUGGAAUA